CACGUAGGCACCAAGCGUUGUCCGGAUUUAUUGGGCGUAAAGAGCUCGUAGGCGGUUCAGUAAGUCAGGUGUGAAAUCUUUGGGCUUAACCCAAAGCGUGCAUUUGAUACUGCUGUGACUUGAGUUCGGUAGGGGAGUGGGGAAUUCCUAGUGUAGCGGUGAAAUGCGCAGAUAUUAGGAGGAACACCGGUGGCGAAAGCGGCUUCCUGGUCCGACACCGACGUUCAGGCACGAAAGCGUGGGGAGCAAACAGG
Molecule: ribosomal RNA, 254 nt
Filed under: uncultured bacterium
Lineage: Bacteria
Description: partial 16S ribosomal RNA
Rfam family: Bacterial small subunit ribosomal RNA
Source: RNAcentral